CAGUCACUGGUAAGUUACCGAAUCUGCGUUGGCUGCCUUUCAUGCCACUGGUGCUCCUUUGUGGCUAUGGACCAGUGGGGGGGUGUAUUUCAAUCCUGUGCUUGUUUCUUUUUUGUCAGAGUUUCUUUGGUUAUCCCCUGAGCAUCUUCUUCAUCGUGGUCAAUGAGUUUUGCGAAAGAUUUUCCUACUAUGGAAUGCGAGCAAUCCUGAUUCUGUACUUCACAAAUUUCAUCAGCUGGGAUGAUAACCUGUCCACCGCCAUCUACCAUACGUUUGUGGCUCUGUGCUACCUGACGCCAAUUCUCGGAGCUCUUAUCGCCGACUCGUGGCUGGGAAAGUUUAAGACCAUUGUGUCGCUCUCCAUUGUCUACACGAUUGGACAAGCAGUCAUCUCAGUAAGCUCCAUUAAUGAUCUCACAGACCACAACCAUGAUGGCACCCCCGACAGCCUUCCUGUGCACGUGGUGCUGUCCAUGAUCGGCCUGGCCCUGAUAGCUCUCGGGACUGGAGGAAUCAAACCCUGCGUGUCUGCGUUUGGUGGAGAUCAGUUUGAAGAGGGCCAGGAGAAACAAAGAAACAGAUUUUUUUCCAUCUUUUACUUGGCUAUUAAUGCUGGAAGUUUGCUUUCCACGAUCAUCACACCCAUGCUCAGAGGUAAGAGAUACCUGAAAGGAACUUCUGUUGGUCUUUUUUUAGUAAGGCUAAGGCCGUGUCUUCUUCGUUUUGUUCUGUUCUUCCCUUCUGCCCUGUUUUCUAGCUGUCAGCUACAUGCUGGGAUGCACGUUGGAAUCUGGAGUAAGUGCUUCCUUCCCUGUGAGUUUCACCUCCUUUUCGUCUUAUUUAAAUCCCUUAUCCCAGUGACCACUGGAGAGUCUAAGCCAUCCUUAGCAUGGGCAUCCAUCUUCCUAAACUGUUAUUCAUGCAAAGUCGUGCUCAUGGUAAGAGGUAAGAGGCAAGAGAGGUGCCUUGGAAGCCAAGCUGGUGGCCGUAGCUGCCAUUUUAGCCUUCAAGCUUUGCUCCCCAGUGAUAUUUCUAUGACUUAGGAAGAGUUUACUGGGCAAAAUUGUAUUGAUUUUUUGUUUGUUUUGUUUUGUUUUUAGAAGGAGUCUUGCUCUGUCACCCACACUGGAGCGCAGUGGCGUGAUCUUGGCUCACUGCAACCUCCACCUCCUGGGUUCAAGCAAUUCUCCUGCCUCAGCCUCCUGAGUAGGUGGGACGACAGGCGCCUGCCACCAUGCCCGGAUAAUUUUUUUUGUAUUUUUAGUAGAGAUGGGAUUUCACCAUGUUAGCCAGGAUGGUCUCGAUCUCCUGCCCUCGUGAUCUGCCUGCCUUGGCCUCCCAAAGUGCUGGGAUUACAGGUGUGAGCCACCGCGCCUGGCUAAGGCAAAGUUUUUUUCUUUGCUUUCCCAUCAUCUCAAGUAUUUCCAAAAGAACUGCUCAGAUAAAGAGAAUGGGACAGUGUCAGUAACUAUCAGAGGUCUGUGCUUGCUAAUGCUCCAUUGAGAGUUUGUGAAUUUCCCACGUGGAAGGGAAUAUGUGGUGUUACUGGUGACAAACUAACAAGACCAUCCUGUCCACAUUUGAAUCAGAUUAGAUUAUGAAAUAAAGAUUUCAGGGGGAUU
RNAcentral lists this small RNA (1622 nucleotides) under Pan troglodytes (chimpanzee). RNAcentral's name for it is "retained intron". The record is from RNAcentral. Lineage: Eukaryota; Metazoa; Chordata; Mammalia; Primates; Hominidae.